UACGUAGGGUGCAAGCGUUGUCCGGAAUUAUUGGGCGUAAAGAGCUCGUAGGCGGCUUGUUGCGUCGUCCGUGAAAACCCGUGGCUCAACUGCGGGCUUGCGGACGAUACGGGCAGGCUGGAGUUCGGUAGGGGAGACUGGAAUUCCUGGUGUAGCGGUGAAAUGCGCAGAUAUCAGGAGGAACACCGGUGGCGAAGGCGGGUCUCUGGGCCGAUACUGACGCUGAGGAGCGAAAGCGUGGGGAGCGAACAGG
Molecule: ribosomal RNA, 253 nt
Filed under: uncultured bacterium
Lineage: Bacteria
Description: partial 16S ribosomal RNA
Rfam family: Bacterial small subunit ribosomal RNA
Source: RNAcentral